This 71-nucleotide transfer RNA is filed under the name Marmota monax (woodchuck). RNAcentral's name for it is "tRNA.Ala". It matches the Rfam family "tRNA". From Rfam's summary of the family: Transfer RNA (tRNA) molecules are approximately 80 nucleotides in length. Lineage: Eukaryota; Metazoa; Chordata; Mammalia; Rodentia; Sciuridae. The record is from RNAcentral.
GGGGUUGUAGCUCAGUGGUAGAGUGCUUGUCUCGCAUGCACGGGACCCUGGGUUCGAUCCUCAGCACCACG